Taeniopygia guttata (zebra finch) is the source of this 2914-nucleotide non-coding RNA. NCBI's taxonomy places the organism in Eukaryota, Metazoa, Chordata, Aves, Passeriformes, Estrildidae. The record is from RefSeq and is a predicted model, not a curated record.
CAGCAUGGUCACCGUGGCAUGGAACGGGACAGGGUAUCCAAGGGCCCUUUGUGACAUGCUGUGGCAAAGGUGUUGGCAGUGACAAGGCCACUCCACAGUGCUCUGUGCACGCGACAGGACAGGAUGGAGAGAGCGGUGCUGUGAGGAGCCCUCGCACAGCCACUCGUUCCUUGCUGACCUGGAGCUUUCCCGAGGUAUUACUCCUGCAGGUGACCUCGUGGCCAGACCAGAACACUUGGUGACCUCUGGCCUUCCCAAGGCAUCUCUUCUGCAGCUGCUCUCGAGGACAGACUGUGGUAUUUGCUUUGCACCGUCCUUGACAGGAGUCUCCUGUCCUUGUGGCUGGAGCCCCCAAGACCAGAGUGCAGGACUUGCUGUCCUGUAGCCUUGCCCAGACUUCACUCUUGCAGGUGUCCUCAAGGCACAACUGCAGCACUUGCUGACUCAGACCUUUUCCUUUUCACCUUCUGCAAGUAGCCAUGAAUCCAGGCAGUGACGUAGAGCACAGACCUGCGAGCGUGCCCAAGCUGGCCUUGGGGAAGGAGGAGAAAGAAGGCCCUGGAGCUGCCCCAGCACAGCAGCCUGAAGAGGUGGAGCAGUUCCAGCCACCACAGAAGGGUGCAGCCGUGCAGCGCACACGAGAGCAGGAACGCACCCGUGGCCGCUUCCGCAGAACAGCGCAGAUGGUUUGCAAAUUCAUGAAGAGGAUUCGGGAGGAAGAGAGCAGCGUCACGGGCACUGUGGUCAGAGCGUACUCUCCCAUCUUCAAAACCAAGACCAGUGCUGCCCUGCUGGAUAUGCUUGUGGAGGAGGGUCCUUCCAGCCCAAAGCAAGCAACUGUGGUGAUGUGGAAGAUCCUCCAGCUGCCCUGUGUCCCACAGAUGGUGACCGUGUAUUUCCCCCGCCUGUUUGUCCAUCUGCUCUUCCAAGUGCUCUUCAGCACUCUGGAUAUGCCAGAGGAGGUUGAUACCUUCUGGGAGGGAUGUCAGCAGCAACAUGGCCUUACCUCCAACCCCAGCAGCUUUGCAGAGCAGACCCUGAAGGCCCUGCUCUGCCGACUGCACUAUGAGGAUGUGGUGGUGGCCAUGGAAGACAAGCGUGGCUGGGACACGCUGCUCUGUGCUGACACCCACCACUGUGCUGUGGGCGUGCUGACCAGAGAAAUGCACCGCGCAUCCGAAGCCGUGUGUUCCGCGAUUGCAUUCCAGCUGCUCGGGCUGCUCAGCAAAGACACGCCAUGCCGGGAUUUGGCCGCCCUGGCGUUCCUUGUGGAGGUCCUGGAGCGCCUGAACCUGAGUGAAUGCCGUGACAGCGUCCUGGAGUUCUUGUCAAAGAACCUGCAGAGCGAGUGCAGGGGGAGGCGUCGCUUGGCACUCAGAGGCCUCGUGGUGCUCGGCACCACCAGUGCCUCGAUGGCCAGAAGGAUGUGGAGCCUGCAUGAAAGGCUCGUGGAGCUCCGGCAGGAAAAUGACAGUGUCAUGCUCAGGAUGACCACGGUUCUCCUCAGGGGUUUAUUUCUCUGCAAUGGUGCCCCAAUAACCAGCGCCCUCGCCCUGCAGCUGGCUGAGGCGCUCCUGCCACUCUUUGACAACGAGGAUAGCCAGGUGAAGUUGUGCUCCAUGUUUGGCUACCGAGAUGCUUGAUUUUUUUCCAGAAGAGGAUAAAAAGGCCCUGAAGACACACAUGCACCAGAGCCUGCUGCCACUCUCCUUCCACUGCCAUGAUGAGAACCAGCGAGUGGCAGAGGCUUCUCAGGAAACGCUGCGUUGUUCAGCCAGAUUCCUGAACAGGAAGGAUCUCCAACAGAUGCUGCAGGUGGAUCAGACCUGGGGGUUCAGUGGGGACCUGGUAAGACCGGCCUGCGAGCCCCAGGCUCAGGCUGGAGAAGCCCCUGACCACGCUGCUCAGGGCGUGCGGCUGGCAGCUGCUCCCCUGCCCAGGGCUGCAGCCAAGGGGCUGAGCCUGAACCAACUGCACCCUCCUGCCGCUCUCUGCAGCUGGCAGAGGACAGCAGCAGCGCGGCCGAGCACCUGCGCCGGGCCCUGCCCUACCUGCAGAGCCCACAGGAGCCCCUGCGAGAGGCGCCGUCAGGUUCAUGGGGAUGGCCGGGAGGAGCUUGAGGGGACAGCAGGAAAAGCUCCAGCUGAUCUGCAAUGGUGAGACAGGGCAGCGGGCUGCCAGCGGGGGCUGCCGGGGCGAGCUGCAAGCCCUGCCCCGGCUGCGGAGAGCUCUGCUCUCCUAGGUAGAGCACGCAGAGAUUUCAGGGACACGUGGGGGAUGCGUGGCCAGCAGCUUCGGGCUGAUCCCCUUGGUCCCUGAUCCCUCCCGGCCAUGGCAAGAGCCGGCUGGGAUGGCCCUGGCAGGGGGGGCUCCCCUCGGCUCCCCGCAGAGUCGGGAUCUGACCGUGGCUCUGUUCCUCUCUCUUGCAGCCCUUGAAUGCCUGACAGAGGAUGUCAGUAGUGCCAUGUCAGAGCUGGCACUUCAAACAUUGCAUGUGCUCCGGGCAAUACAGAGUGGGCGAUACUCCAUCUUCCAGAAGGCGCAAGAUCAUACAGCCCUCUGUGAUGUCACACUGUUAUCUCUGUGAUGUAACACAGCCCUCUGUGAUGUCACACAGCCCUCUGUGAUGUCACACUGACCCUUUGAGGUCACACAGCUUCUUGUGAUGUCACACAGCUCUCUGUGACAUCACACGGACAUCUCUGUGAUGUCACAUGGACAUCCCUAUGAUGUCACUUAGCUCUCUGUGAUGUCACACAGACAUAUCAGUGAUGUCACACAGCUCUCUGUGAUGUCACAAAACCUCCUGUGAUGUCAUACAGACAUCUCUGAGAUGUCACACCACUAUGUCUGAGGUGUCACACUGACCCUGUGAGGUCACACAGGUUAUUGUGAUGUCACAGACACAUAUUUG